AUUCUGGUUGCGAUGGCAUUGGAGAAGGGAGCUCAGGCCGGCCUGUAGGUGAGGAAUGCCUGAACACCCUGGGCCAGAUCUUUAUCUCGACUGUAAAGACAAUGUUUCCUGACCAGCUGGACGU
Microcebus murinus (gray mouse lemur) is the source of this 124-nucleotide unclassified non-coding RNA. The record is from Ensembl. NCBI's taxonomy places the organism in Eukaryota, Metazoa, Chordata, Mammalia, Primates, Cheirogaleidae.